UUGUUUCUCUUUCAAGCUCACGCUGAUACCUCCGUUUGGAGAGGAGGGUGCAAGGGUUGAAUUCUGUUUGCGAUAUGAAACAUCUUUUGGCACUUUUUGGGCCAACAACAAUGGGAAGAAUUAUGCUCUGUGUUUCUAUGAAAAGACAAAGGAGAAAGCCCAAAAUGAGAGUGAAAACAGAAGAAAAAGCUGUUUGAAAGGAACCAGCUCAAACUUCUCUGCUUUGAGUGCUGCAACAACAAAUAAUGAAGAAUUUCCUGAUAAAAUAUUAAAUUCUGGACAGGACACUGUCUCUGAAUCUCAAAACUUUAAUUCUGAGGAACACCAAAAGGAAAGCAAGGAAUUACUGGUGGAAAUAAGUAGAAACCGCAGUCGAAGGAACAGAAGAAAGGCUGCGCGGUUAGCAAAAGUCAAAGAGCACUUUGCUCGGAGAGAAGAGGAGAAACAAGGGACCAAGAAGACAAAAAGUGAAGUCACAGCUGAAACCAGCAUGCAGGAUUAUGAAUUGCUGGUGAAGGAGCCAUGCAGCCUUUCACAACAAA
This is a non-coding RNA of Misgurnus anguillicaudatus (oriental weatherfish), 542 nucleotides long. The record is from RefSeq and is a predicted model, not a curated record. NCBI's taxonomy places the organism in Eukaryota, Metazoa, Chordata, Actinopteri, Cypriniformes, Cobitidae.